This 259-nucleotide ribosomal RNA is filed under the name uncultured Gardnerella sp. RNAcentral describes it as "partial 16S ribosomal RNA". It matches the Rfam family "Bacterial small subunit ribosomal RNA", at positions 96 to 355 of the family's 1533-position model. The record is from RNAcentral. Lineage: Bacteria; Bacillati; Actinomycetota; Actinomycetes; Bifidobacteriales; Bifidobacteriaceae.
UGGCGAACGGGUGAGUAAUGCGUGACCAACCUGCCCCAUGCUCCAGAAUAGCUCUUGGAAACGGGUGGUAAUGCUGGAUGCUCCAACUUGACGCAUGUCUUGUUGGGAAAGUGUUUAGUGGCAUGGGAUGGGGUCGCGUCCUAUCAGCUUGUAGGCGGGGUAACGGCCCACCAAGGCGACGAUCAGUAGGGGUUCUGAGAGGAAGGUCCCCCACAUUGGAACUGAGACACGGUCCAAACUCCUACGGGAGGCAGCAGUA